AAAGACAGGGUUUCACCAUGUUGGCCAGGCCGGUCUUGAACUCCUGACCUCAAGUGAUGUGCCUGCCUCUGCCUCUCAAAGUGCUGGGAUUUUAGGCAUGAGCCACUGAACCCGGCCAAGUCUCAAAAACUCAGAUAGUUUACCCAAAGUAGAUCUCCUCUGAAAGAACUUCUAAAGUUUGUAAUUCAGGGAGAAGGAAGUUGAACUUAGAAUCAAGGACUGAUAAGGAAAGAGAAAUAAUGAGUAAAGAAAUAGAUAAAAGAGUAAUUAUAAAAAUACAGAAUGAAACGAUAAUAGUAACACUAAUGACUAAUUAAAGAGUAAAGAAAAAGAAUCAAAUUAUCAAAAAGUAACGUUUUGUCAUUGGUCAUGCUAAAGAAUUCUAAAGUUCUUGUAUUAGAAGGAGAGUGAGUAACGUAGCAGCAAUAACAAUAACUACAGUUAAUUUAAAAGCCUGCUCUACACAUGGCAUGGUCUUAAGCCUUUUUAGGUAAUUAACUUAUUCCCCAGAACAGCCCUGUGAGUUUGAUAUUAUUAUCAUCAUCACUAUUUUGCCCAAGGGGAAAACUGGCCCUCAGGAGGCCAAAAGUGACUUCCCAAGGGACACAGUGGGGUGUGGCUGAGUUGUGAUUCAAUCUGGCACAGUCGGGUUCUGAGCAGGUCUUCCUAACCAUGGCGAUGUUACAUUGAUACUUUGUUAAGAAGUGUGUCAGCAUUUUAGGAGAAGAAUUAAAAGAACAGAAACAGAGUUGACAGCUUCUAAAUAAAUUGAGCAAAAAUGGAAUUAAAAAUACUUGAUCAUGUCAAAAGAAGACAGGAAGAGAAAAAAAUCAUAGAAAAAGCACAAUAAAUGAAAAAUCAUAUGGAAGAUAUAAAUCCAAGUAUAUUAGUAAUAUCAAUAAAUGUAAGCAACUAAUGGUAUGUUUUGAGGGGAGUAAAGCAGAAUGGUUAAAUUGAAUAUAAAAAAAUCCAUAUACUGCAGAAAGGAGACAAACCAAGGAAACAAAAAAGAUGAAAGUAAAAGAAUGGGAAAAGAUGUUCCAGGCAAAUACUAACCAAAAGAAAGCUGGUAUAGAUACAUUAGAAGCAAUGAUAUUUUAAUUAUCACCGGUUUAUUAUUUGGCUUUAAGGCAAAAAUCCUGUUUAGGGAUAAAGUGACCACAUAAUGAUAAAGGGUUAAAUUCUCCAGGAACAUACAACAGUUUAAACCAAUAGCAACACAAUACUAGAGUCUUAAGGCCCAUGCAACAAUGAAACAAAACAUGACUGAAUUAUAAGAAGAAAUUGAGAAAUCCACAGUUAUGAUGGGAAAGUUCUCUCAGUGAACAAUAAAUAAAGCAAACAAAAUUUAGUAAGGCCAUGAUACAGGUGAAGAACACAAAUGAUAAAGGAACCUUCAUGUAGUGAAUAUACGUAGAAUCCUUAACCAGACAAUGAGCAAAUACAUAUUUUUACAUGGAAUAUUUGUGAAAAUUGACCGUGCGUUACCUAGACCUAGGGCAAAUUUCAAAGAAUAGGUAUACAGACCACAUUUUCUGACUACAACAAAAUCAAAUUAUAAAUCAAAAACAAAAAUAACUAGGAUAUAUACAUAAUAUUUUUAAAACACUUUUGAAUAGCUCAUAAGUAAAAGAAAAUCAUAAUAGGAGUUAGAAAACAUUUAGGACAUACCAAUAUUAAAAUAUCAUACAUAAAAAUUUGCAAAUUAAGCUAAAAUAAUACAAAGAACAAGUGUUAUAUCCUAAAAUGCUUAUAUAAGGAGAAACCUAAAAACUUCAUCUUAAAGAGUUAGAGAAAUUAUAGCAAAAUAAAUUCUGAGAAAAUGGAAGAAGAAACUAACAGAAAACAAAUUAAUGAAACACAGAACAAAAGGGCAACAAACAUAAUUUAAAAACCUAAAAAAUACUACAAACCUCUGGCAAGAAAAAAAAGCACAAACAUUAUUAGGACUAAAAAAGGAAACAUAUAACAAAUUCAGCCUAAAUUUUUAAAAAUUGUAAGAAAGACUUCUAAAUUUUUAUGUUCCUCAAAACAAACUCUCAAGAGAUAUAAAGCAAAAUGGGAAGAAUAUUCUAAUCCAACUAGAAACUAACGUUAAAAAAUAAUAGGAAGAACUUAGAAGAGAAAUAAAGAAUUCUAUAAUCACAAGAGGGAAAUUUGAAUACAUCUUUUUCAGUUAUUGACAGAAAUAGCCUUCAAAAAGUUAGUAAAACUAUAAAAGAUUUGAACAAUGUGAUUUACAAAUGUGGCUUAAUAAACAUACACAGAACGCUGAAGUAUGGGAUUGUUGUUACCAUUCUGAUAAAAAUGUUUUCUAAUGUUUCAUUAGAAUAUUUCUAAUAUUUCAUUGUGAUUUUGCCUUUUAUACACAGAUUAUUUAGAAGGGAAGAUUAGAAAGGAAGAAAUAAAACCAUUUUCAUUCACAAAUAACAUGAUUGUCUAUGUAGAAUAUCCAAAUAGCUUUUUAAAAGAAAAGAGAAAAACUCCUAGAACUAAUAUAAGUGAGGUUAGUAAAGUCACAGGAUGUAAGAUCAGCACUGCUGAGCUUAAUAUUUUGCUGUUGCCAUCUUGAAAUUCUGAAUAAUUUUUGAACAAAGGGCUUCACAUUUUUAUUUUGCACUGAGUUCCACAAAUUAUGUAGCUAGUCCUACCUAAGAUGUCAUAGUAGCUGUGGUCCUUAUUCAAGAGUUAUCUAACUGCAAUGUCCACAUUAGCUUUAUUUCCAACCAUAGUCAUUGGAAAAAUUUGCUCAGUGCUUUACUCUGAGAAUUUGUCAUUGAUUUUAUUUAUAUGUUAUUCUCAAAAAGAUGGUUCUUCAAAACCACCUCCAUGAGAGACUAAGAAGGCCAAUGGGAAACCUGCUUUGCUCCUCAUACGCUAUUCUUUCAUGACUCCAAACUCUUCUUAUCCCAGUAUAUCCAAGCUGCUCUUGAUGGAUCACACAUUGCUGCACUGCUAGCAAUUACACAUGGCUCUAUGUACAAAUCUUCAACGGUUGGAUCACACUUUAGGACGAAAUAGGACUGAAUGAAGUGGACAGCAAAUGCUGACUUGCCCCUGACACCUCUUUCAAUCUCUUGUCCAUAUCCUUGGAAUGUUGCUAAGCCCACACUAGCCCACAAAACCCCAAUCCCUAGGUCCAGCUCCAGAUGUCUGCCUGGCAGGCUGAUAGAGAGUAAUCAGGUGAGCCUCCAAAAGGGCGAGUUCACUUAGGGGUACCACUGCACCAGAGGCUGGUCAGGGUUCUUUGAGGGAUAGAGAUGUGUGGUAUCUGGCUGGAACAUGUGGUAGCUAGUGAGGGGCUCUCUCCUCAGCACCUGCUCCCUCUUAAUAUCUUUGGAUUUAACUUACUGUUGUUUUUGUUGUUGUUGUUUUACUAACUUAUUGGAAUGAAUGCUUAAUUAAUUUAUUCUCCUUUUUUCCUAAUAUAUUCUUACAAGCCUAUAGAUUUUCUUUUAAGUACUAUUUUGGCUUCAUCUCAGAUUUUGAUACAUAGUAUUGUUGUUACCAUUCUGAUAAAAAUGUUUUCCAAUAUUUCAUUGUGAUUUUGUUUUUUAUACACAGGUUAUUUAAAAGUGUGUUUUUAUUCAUUUCCAAACAUAUGGGGUUUCUCUAGGUUAUUUUUGGUUGAUUUCUAGCUCAGUGGCAUUAUAGUCAGAAUACACACUUUGUAUGAUUUCAAUCGUUGAAAUUUGUUGAAACUUGCUUUAUGGCCCUGUCCAAAAAAAAAUGGUUCAUGGUUUACAGUCAUCAUAAAAAUGGUCAAUUUUUAUAGAUACUCUAUGUGCUUGAAAAGCAUGUGUAUUGUGUAGAUAUCUUUGCUUUCUUCCUGAUUUUAGGAAUAAGCCUUUCAAUCUUUCACCAUUUUGUAUAAUUUAGCUAUAAGGUUUUUGUAGGUGCAUUUUAUGAGGUUGAGAAAGUUGCUUUCUUAUUCCUAGGCUGCUGAUAACUUUUAUUAUGGGGGCAUUUGAAGUUUGUUAAAUGGUUUUACUGUAUCAAUUGAUAUGAUCAUGUGAUUUUUCUUCUGUGGUUAUUAUGGUGGACUAUAUUGAUUGGUUUCCAAAUAUUGAAAUAGUCUUGCUAUUCCUGGAUAAACUCCAUUGAUCCUGAUAUUUUAUUUUUUUCAUAUAUUCCUGGGUUUGAUUGCUAAUAUUUUGUUGAGGAUCUAAGCUCAUGAGGGAUACUGGUCUGUAAUUUUCUUUUCUUGCACUGUCUUUGUCUGGUUGCCAGAAUCUCUGAAUACAAUGUGUAUUUGUCUUAUUAAUAUUUUUCUUUCUGCUGCAUCAGUUUUUGCUUCAUGUAUUUUGGAGCUAUGUUAUUUGGUGCAUUUCCCCUAAGAUUGCUAUGCCUUCGUGAUGGACUUAUUCCUUUAUUGAUGUGUAAUAUUCUUUGUCCUUAGAAAUUUUCUUUGCUCUGCAGUCCAAUUUAUCUAAUAUUCAUAUAGCCAUUUCUGAGGAUUAUAAGCUCCUAUCACUUAUGAACAUAAAUUCAGAAAUUCUUUAAAAAG
RNAcentral lists this long non-coding RNA (4507 nucleotides) under Homo sapiens (human). RNAcentral's name for it is "HSALNT0249989". Lineage: Eukaryota; Metazoa; Chordata; Mammalia; Primates; Hominidae. The record is from RNAcentral.